GGGCGCGUAGCUCAGUUGGUUAGAGCGCGUCACUGAUAAUGACGAGGUCUCAGGUUCAAGUCCUGACGUGCCCACCA
This 77-nucleotide transfer RNA is filed under the name Deltaproteobacteria bacterium. RNAcentral's name for it is "tRNA-Ile". It matches the Rfam family "tRNA". From Rfam's summary of the family: Transfer RNA (tRNA) molecules are approximately 80 nucleotides in length. Lineage: Bacteria; Pseudomonadati; Myxococcota; Myxococcia. The record is from RNAcentral.